UAAUUUUUACACUUCCCUUUCCACAUGGUAUUUAAAAACAUUAGAAUGUGCAUCAGGCAGAAUGACCACAGAAUAUUUAUAUUUCAAGGCUCUAUGUUACAGACAAUAAAUCUAUCCAUAUUUGAAAACUUUUUUAGUUAUAUGCUAUAAGAUGGUUCUUUUAUAUUACAUUGAGUGCAGUCAUGCUAAUUCUUUUAUAUUCAGUAUCCACCCCUAGUGCUCAAACUCAAAGUUAUGUUUAUAGAGUCUCAGAACACUUAGAAACAAAAAAGAUCUAAGUUUUCAUCUGUUCUGUUAUUCCAUUUAUUAAGUGAUUUUUUUCUCCUAGAUCACACAGUGAACUGCUGAUAUCAUUAUGAUCAAAAUCCAAAUAUCCUAAUAAAUCAAACUGUUUAUUUUCCUGAUCAUACAUUUGGCUUAGUCAAAACAUUUUUAAUUCUACUAUUUUUGAAAUGGGAAGAUUUUGAGACAGAUAUGAAUGAUCAUAUUACUUUAUAUAAUCUUAAAUUAUCUUCCUAUUCAGUUGGGAUUAAAAUUUCCCUUAUUUAUUUAUGAUCCCUACUUCCAAAAGGUUUCAAGAUAUUCUGCAUAAUUAAAUAUGAUACAUAAUAAGCAUAUUUCCUCAACAUAUUGCUUCUAUAAAUAAGGUGAUAAUAAUAAAGAAGGAAUCUUAGAGAAUUUGAGUUUGAGAUUCAAAAUAACUUUUCACCUAAAUAUGACCAGGUUCUAUUUCAUAAAAAAAUGAAAAAUAAGCUUUCAGCUUACAGGAAGAAGAAAGCUAAUUGAUACCUCAAGAAACAUAAUCUUCCAAAGUCUAGGUAGACAAAAGCAUGCAUAUUGCCUUCAAUUCUCAACGCAAAGUCAUUCUCUUUUCUUAGGCCAAAAAUUACUGGAUCUGACAGGUAAAUGGGUUUCAGAUCAAGAGUUACAAGGAUCUUCCCCUCUCUGGUCUAUAUGCAAGCGUAGGAACCAGGGAAAGAGGUUCUGAAUAUGACAGAUCCUGGCAUUGGGGGAUCCUCUGACCAUGCCCCCCCCCCCCAAGAAAACUGGGCAGUUUGAAUGGGAAUGGUUUUCUUACUUUGCCAAUACAUUAAAUAUAUAAAGCCAAACUAUUAAAAAUGUAAGAAAGUCAUCAUUGUAAGCAACAUGAGGAAAGUUAGCUAUUCCUCUACCAAUUGAUAAGAAGAAAAAUCAAAUAUUUAUCUUGCCUUUUCUGAACAAAACAAAUAGGCUUCAAAUAUGCACAUAAUCAAAUAGAUGAUGAGAAAAGGUCAUCAUAGAAGAAGUCAGGCUAACAAAUGCAGAAGUAAUGCUACAUUUAGAAAAUCACCAUUUUGCAACUCCUAAUGAAAUAAUGGAGCUAGGCAAUGAUCAUUAAUUAAUUAUAAAACAUUAGGUGAAAAGUUAAUGGGAAUCAUUAUAAAGAAUGGCUCAGAUUGACAUCCUCUGAACACAGAGAUCAAUCAUAGUUUCUCUGAAAGCAGAGCAACCAGAUAUGGUAUGCCUCCUGGUGUGAUGCAAUAGCGAAUACAUAGUCCCCCAAUGAAGUACUCUUGGAAAAAUAAGAUGAGGACUCGAAUCUAACCAAACCUUUAGAUAUAAUUAUCUGUAGACAGAAUAUCUGGGUCAGUUAGGAAGGGUUACUUCAAGAGAAAAUCUACAGGCAAUAGAAAAUGUGGGGCAUUCCACAAAUAACUGACAAAAAUUAUUUUCAACAAAUUAACAACAAGAUAAAAAUGUAAAUAGAGAUUUAUGCAAGGGAUGGACUUGUUUGAAUACAGUUUGUAAAAAAAAAAAUCAACGAUAAAAAUAAAUUUCUUGGGAUCCCUGGUGGCUCAGCGGUUUAGAACCUGCCUUCCACCCAACGUGUGACCCUGAGUCCUGGGAUUGGGUCCCACAUCAGGUUCCCUGCAUGGAGCCUGCUUCUCCCUCUGCCUGUGUCUCUGCUUCUCUCUCUCUCUGUGUGUCUCUAAUGAAUAAAUAAAUAAAAUCUUAAAAAAAAUAAAAAUAAAUAAAUUUCUUUCUUUAGACAAUCAGGAAAGUGGUUAGAACCUGAAUAUUAGAUGACAUAUAAUAAUUGCUGUUAAUUUUUUAGUUUAGUGAUAGCAUUUUGGUAUGUAUUUAUGUAUGUGAAUGUAUAAAUGCACACAUAUACCAUUAUGCAUUUAUACUGAAGUACCUAUAGAUAAAAUGACAUGAUAUGAUAUGUUUAAAAUGGUACUCACAUGCAAAAAAUUGGAACAGGAGAUGUGUAAGGCUGAUAAAGUGUUGAUUAUCAUUGAAGAUGGGGGAACAUGGAGAUUUAUUAUAAUAUGUUCUCAAUUUUGGGGUAUGUUUGAAAAUUUCUAAAUAGAAAGAUCUUCAUUCAAAUAACCUUUAUAUAAAAGCAAUUAUAGUGGCAGAUUGCAAUAUAUCAUCCUUCCUUAAAAUCUGGAUAGAUCUGUUAGAUAAAGAAGGAAAAAUAGUGAAAUUGAAUAAGGGAAUUUACAUUCUAUAUUUACUACAUACAUAUAUAGAAAACCUCACGAUAAAUAAUGAAGUUUCCAAUAAUCUUAAUAUUUUCAAAAAGUUGAGACUUUACAACAUUCUUUGAUCAUUUGUAUUUUAUUCAAAAUUUAAAAAAAAACCUAAAUACUUACAGAAACUUGAAUAGAAACUGCAUAUUUAAUGACAUUUCUAUUUCACUGAUAUUAAAUUUCUUGGAUAUGAUGAUGCUAUUUUGGUUAUGUACAAGAAAGCCUUAGUUCUUAAAAGAUGCCUCCUGAAAAUUUUUGGGAUAAAGUAAAUGCACUUUAUCACGGCAAUUUAAUUUGAAAUAAUUCAGCCAGAACAUUCCAUACCUACAACACACACACACACACAUUCAUACACACACACACACACACACACACACACACACGGAUGAAGACAGAGAGGUGAGUAGAAACUCAGAUUUUGUAAAAUGUUAAAAACUGGUAAGUCUGGAUCAAGGAUAUACAUGUGUUAUACUGUUCUUUCAACUUUUUUAUAGGUCUGAAGCUUAUCAUUAUAGAGGUUUGGGGAGAAACAAUUAAGAAAAUAAAAAGUUGAUAAACAAAUUUUUACAAGUUUAAAAGUUAAAUGCAUUAAUUUGAUCUCUUGGAUCAAAUAAAAUAUUAAAUUACAUUCACAAGCCCAGGGAACAUUUCAUACAAGGCAGGAAUUGACUUGAUCUUUAAGGUCUUUUUUUAAAAAUAGGAACAGAUGAGUACAAAUAUUCCAAAACAAUAAUCAUUAAAAUAAAAGCUGAUGUUUAAUGGCCAUUUAUGAUUGCCAGGCAAUGAGCUACACAUUCUCCAUUUGUUAUCUCAUUUCAUUCUCAUGACAAAUUCAUGAGAAAGUACCAUUAUCCUCUAAAUUUACAGUGGUCCCACAGGCUGGAAAGUGGUGGGGUCAAGUUUGUUCCCCUUUGCUACCAUGCACAGCAUAAUUAUUCCUCACUUUUAUCUUGCCCUAGCCCAUCAGAGCUGGCAGUCACCAUGAUUCCAUAAAUGAAAUGUCUAUUUUAGCAUAAUGAUUCAACAAAUGUAAAAAACAAAUUCAAAUUGAUUAAAGACCUAAAUCUGAUAUCUGAAACCAUAAAAAACCCUAGAAGAGGAAACAGGCAGUAACUUCUUUGACAUUGGCCAUAGCAACUUCUUUCUAGAUAUAUUCCUGAGGCAAAGGAAACAAAAUUUAAAAAAUAAAUUUUUGGGACUACAUAAAAAUAAAAAGUUUCUGCACUAUGAAGGGAACUAGCAAAACUAAUAGGCAGCCUUCAGAAUGGAAGAAAAGUAAUUGCAAAUGACAUAUCUGAUAAAGGGUUACUAUCCAAAAUAUAUAAAGAAUUUAUAAAACUCUAUACCUAAAAAUGAAUAAUUGAAUUGAAAAUGGUCAGAAGACAUGAAUAGACCUUUUUCCAAAGAGGACAUCCAGAUGGUCAACAGACACAUGAGAAGAUGCUCAGGAUCACUCAUCAUCAGGGAAAUACAAAUCAACAGUACAAUGAGAUACCACCUCACACCUGUCAGAAUGGAUACAAUCAACAACAUAAGAAACAGCAGAUGUUGGGUGUUGGGGAGGAUGUUGGUGUGAAGGCAAAGUGGUGCAGCCACUCUGGAAUACACUAUGGAGUUUCCUCAAAAAAUUAAAAAGAGAACUACUCUAUGAUCCAGCAAUAGCACUACUAGGUAUUUACCCAAAGUAUACAGAAAUACUAAUUCAAAGAGAUAUAUGCACCCUGGUGUUUAUAGCAGCAUUAACUAUAAUAGCCAAAUUAUGGAAAUUGCCCAAGUAUCUAUUGACUGAUGAAUGGAUAAAAAAGAGGUGGACUAUUACUUAGACACUAAAAAGACUGAAAUCUUGUUGUUUGCAAUGACAUGGAUGGAACUAGAGAGUAUUAUGCUAAGCAAAAUAAGAGUCAGAGAAAGACAAAUACCAUCUGAUGUUACUCAUAUGUGGAAUUUAAGAAACAAAACAAAUUAGAAAAGAGAAAAAAGAGAGAGAGAGAGAGAGAGACAAACCAGACUCUUAACUAUAGAGAGCAAAGGGAUGGUUACCAGAGGAAAAGUAGGUGUGUAUGUGUGUGUGUGGAGGGGGGUGGUGUUUGGUAAUGGAAAUAGGUGAUGGGGAUUAAGGAGUACAUUUUUUUGUGAUGGGGCAUCACGUGAUGUAUGGAAGUGCUGAAUCACUAUUAUUAUACACCUAAAACUUAUAUUACACUGUAUGCUAACUAGCUGGAAUUUGAAUAAUUUUUUUUAAAAAAGAGUAUAGACUCAGAGGCAGUCAGCCUGCAAAUUAAAUUCCUGUUCCAAUACUUUCUAGUUGUGGUGUCUUGGUGAAGUGUUUUGCUCUCACUGUUCUUAAUUAUCCUCAACAAUAAAGUGUAGAUGGUACAGCUUCACAAGCCAAGAAGAUGACUUGAGAUAGGUGCAUUUAAAGAACAUAGUACAGAGCCUGGUACAUAGAAAGUUCAGUAAUCUCCUUUAUAUUUGGGGGAUACAUUCCAAUACCCCCAGUGGAUACCUGAAGCUGAAGGUAGUACCAAAUCCUGUAUAUACUGUUUUUUCCUACACAUACAUACCUAUGAUAGUUUAAUUUAUAAAUUAGAUAAUAAAUUAACAAUAAUAAAAUAGAAAAAAUUAACAACAUACUGUUAUUCACAUAAAAGUUAUGUUGAAUGUGGUCUCUCUUUCAAAAUAUCUUAUUGUGCUGUAUUCACACUUCUUGUGAUCACAUGAGAUGAUAAAAUGCCUAUGGAUGAGACGAAGUGGGUGAAUGACAGGCAUGGCGGCAGAGAGGCUACUACAGACCUGAUGAUUAAUCAGGAAGGAGGAUCAUUUGAUUCUGGACUGCAGGUGACAGCAAGGAUCUGAAACUGGGGACAUGGGAGACCACUGUAUCCAGUAAAUGUUAUAUAUCAUUAUAGUGGAGGACAUUCUUUACUGCAGCAGUUUCAGAGGAUUUUGAUAAAAGCAACAAUGUUCCAUAAUAAAAAGCUUGAAGCAGAAAUAGGGGACAGGGAGAUACUGAAAGUAGCAAUAUUUAUCAAUUAACUAGCAGACUGUCUGAAUUCAAUUACAUUCUCAAGCAAAAUGCCUGCUUAGUAUUACGUAUAAGCUUAUUAAAUUCAGUUAUUUGACAAAUGUUUAACAAUGAACAUCUAAGCACUUUAAAGAUUUAGAUCGAUAUUUUACUCAUUUAAAAAACAGCAGUAAAAUAAGCAGAAUGUUUAAACUUAAACUUGAGCCACUAAUUAAAAAAAAAUCCAAGAUUAUUCCAUGAAGUGAGCACAUUGCACCAAUUCUCCUACCAUAGCAGAGGAAGAUCAACAGAAGAAAUGCCAUCAAAGAAAAGUUCACCAUGGCUGUGUUGUAACAUUCACUACUGUAUUUAACAUGAAAGAUAAACUGCUCUAACCUGUCAUGUAAAGAAAAGCACCCAUUCUCUUUGGAGCUUUCUGCCAUCUAUGCUGCCAGCACCAGCUUUGGGUGGCUUAUCUGCACCUUUGCUUCCUAUUUUAUCAAAAGAAUAAUUAAGAAAUGAAAUAAUCCUUAAAGCACAAAGUACGGUCAAUAUAUUUCCCAUUCACUUACAAAAAAAGUAAUUAUCCAGAAAGUCAUAAGCUCUAGCUAAAACCUGGAUCUUACUAUCUUUUUUUUGCAAAAGGCAAGUUAAUAAGAAGUAAAGUAACAAAGACUCUCUGGGUAAUUUACCGCAGAUUCUAAAGAAGAGAGCACAAAAUUGAAGUUAACAGAAA
RNAcentral lists this long non-coding RNA (6256 nucleotides) under Canis lupus familiaris (dog). Its description in RNAcentral is "lncRNA (ENSCAFG00845028192.1)". The record is from RNAcentral. Lineage: Eukaryota; Metazoa; Chordata; Mammalia; Carnivora; Canidae.